CCAGGAAGGACCCCUCCAGGAGCCAUGGCUUCAGAGCAAUCUAGUCUCUAACAGGCACCGAAGAACAGCAGCACCAGCACGGUUACCACUGCCAUCAUCCUUGGCACGGAAUACAAGACUUCACGUCUGGUGGGUGGUCCCGACCCCAGGGACGGUGGAGAGUUCACAGGGGCCGGGCUGUCCCCGCUCCUGGCUGUCUGUCUUGUGUGUCACUCACAACUGCCUCUUGCAAACAGAGCAUCCCCUGGGGAGCUUUCCCCGGGGACACUUUUCUUUGGCAUCCUUAAACAGCUGUCACACUGUCCCAGUUGUUUUUCAAGAAGGAGGUCUCCAGAGUUUCAUUGAGGCAGACUUGAACUUGACCCUGCCGUGUUGAUUUGUUCCCUUUCAUCUCUCCCUGGGAAACGGGUGCCAAACCCUGGGUGCCCAUGGGUGGAUCCUGGCAGCCUCUCAGCCUUGGCAGCUCAUCACCUGUUGUUUCCUACCCAGAAUAUGCGUUUGGACGUGUAAGGAUUUCAGCAGUUCCUGCAAAGGCAAACUUCUCUGGAGGAACCUGAGAUUUCUUCGGCACAGAUCAGCUUCACACCCCACGGAGCAGUCUUUCAGCAAAGGGUUUAAAGGUGGGGGCACAUAAGUAAUGCCUUAGGUAGGGUAGGUGAGGGAGGCCACCAUUCAGCACUCGAUCUCGAACUUUGUGUUUGCCAGGGGCUUUCAAGUCAUUUCCAUUAGCUAUUACACCUGAACGCCCUUAAAAGGUAGGUAGGAACUGGUGUCCUCCUUUUGAGAAUAAGGACAUGGGGAGGGAUGCAUCCCCGGGGACACAUCCAUGGAGUGAGAAGGGUCAGAGAGGCCCUGGUGGGGAAGCGUUCCUCUCAGCCUCCAUCCCUGGCCCCGUGUGCUUCCAGCAAGCCACUGGGGAGGAUGUUUCUGGAGCGUGGCUUUCGUCCAGGAAUCGUCCUACGUGUUAGCUUUCUAAGAGCCAGGUUGAGGUCUUGGUCACUGCCAUGUGGCAUAUAGGGGCAGCCUCAGAGAGGUAAGUGCCGUGCAGUAAAUCACAGAAGGAUGAGCAAACUGCUCUGCGCAGGGAAAGCAGGCUCUCAUUCCCCAGCCACUCCCGCACCAGCUUUGAAGCAAGAUAUAUUUUUAAACACAAGCUUCGUACAGAAAAAUUCCCUCGCAUGUCCCCAUAGCCUACUAAUGGGGCAACUGCUGGCAACCGAUACCGCCAGCCCGUGCUCAGGGCUGUGUUCUCAAUUUUUCUUUCUAUUCUUGUCCCCUGGCAUACGAUAGGGCUGCUGUCCUGGGACACUGCAGGCGACUGACGAAAAAGGUUGCAGUCGGUUCUUGCCUGCUCUCAAUUUCAAGACUCUCUGAUUUCGUUCAGACGCCGGGCCUGUAGACCAGGCUCACUUUUAUCCCCCUGAUGAUGCCACGCGGUGGAGAAAGCCUGCAGUCUUCUCGCUGAGUUUGGCUUGGCAAAAUGGCAUGCAAGGUUCACCUCUGUGAGUCAUAAUCAUAAAUAUUCAUGCAGCAUCCUUCCUUUCUCGGCAUGUCAAUGCGAACUCUCUUCAUUCUCAUGGGAGCCCUAUCACCGUUUUGCU
Non-coding RNA from Delphinapterus leucas (beluga whale), 1601 nucleotides. The record is from RefSeq and is a predicted model, not a curated record. Lineage: Eukaryota; Metazoa; Chordata; Mammalia; Artiodactyla; Monodontidae.